Molecule: long non-coding RNA, 123 nt
Organism: Pipistrellus kuhlii (Kuhl's pipistrelle)
Lineage: Eukaryota; Metazoa; Chordata; Mammalia; Chiroptera; Vespertilionidae
Exons: 3
Source: RefSeq, a predicted model, not a curated record
AAAAUUUGGAUAGUGAAAGAAGAAAAAAGGUGUGUAUGGAUUUAGAGCAGGGGAUUGAAAAUUAGAUAUAUAUGUAGGAUGAAUUUUUAACAGGGCAUAAAAAGAAGAAAUUGGGAAAAUCUA